UCGUGUCGUGAGAUGUGGUUAAGUCCGCAACGAGCGCAACCCUCGACCUUAGUUGCCAGCAUUCAGUUGGGCACUCUAAGGUGACUGCCGGCUAAAAGUCGGAGGAAGGUGGGGAUGACGUCAAAUCAUCAUGCCCCUUAUGACCUGGGCUACACACGUGCUACAAUGGGCGGUACAAAGGGUCGCGAACCCGCGAGGGGGAGCCAAUCCCAAAAAAGCCGCUCUCAGUUCGGAUUGCAGGCUGCAACUCGCCUGCAUGAAGCCGGAAUCGCUAGUAAUCGCGGAUCAGCAUGCCGCGGUGAAUACGUUCCCGGGCCUU
This 319-nucleotide ribosomal RNA is filed under the name uncultured Anoxybacillus sp. RNAcentral's name for it is "bacterial SSU rRNA". It matches the Rfam family "Bacterial small subunit ribosomal RNA", at positions 1060 to 1382 of the family's 1533-position model. The record is from RNAcentral. Lineage: Bacteria; Bacillati; Bacillota; Bacilli; Caryophanales; Anoxybacillaceae.